This 253-nucleotide ribosomal RNA is filed under the name uncultured bacterium. RNAcentral describes it as "partial 16S ribosomal RNA". It matches the Rfam family "Bacterial small subunit ribosomal RNA", at positions 524 to 776 of the family's 1533-position model. The record is from RNAcentral.
UACGUAGGUGGCAAGCGUUGUCCGGAUUUAUUGGGCUUAAAGGGUGCGUAGGCGGCUUUGUAAGUCAGUGGUGAAAUAUGUCAGCUCAACCCAGAGGGUGCCAUUGAUACUGCAGAGCUUGAGUACAGAUGAGGUAGGCGGAAUUGACGGUGUAGCGGUGAAAUGCGUAGAUAUCGUGAAGAACACCUAUGGCGAAGGCAGCUUACUGGGCUGUAACUGACGCUGAGGCACGAAAGUGUGGGGAUCAAACAGG